Molecule: small RNA, 297 nt
Filed under: Arabidopsis thaliana (thale cress)
Lineage: Eukaryota; Viridiplantae; Streptophyta; Magnoliopsida; Brassicales; Brassicaceae
Description: ATSL257360
Source: RNAcentral
AAUAAUGUUAAUGCAAAAGCCCGUAAUUCAAACAAAAAAAAUUCUUAAUCCCUUUAGACCCGAAAACACAAAUUACAAUAUUAGUUUCGUCCCAAGCGUCACUCGAACUGGUGAUUUCUAAGUCUCGCUUAGGGUCGGUCUUUACCAAUAGAGCUAACGACACUUGGUUCGUUAACAUUUUCACGAUUAAAAAAAAUUUGUAUUCGAAAAAAUCACCAAUUAUUGUAACAUGUAAACGCAAAAAGAAAACGUUGAAGCAUUGUGAAUUUGUUUCAAUACCUUGUUUCAUCCACCUCU